Molecule: ribosomal RNA, 440 nt
Filed under: uncultured bacterium
Lineage: Bacteria
Description: partial 16S ribosomal RNA
Rfam family: Bacterial small subunit ribosomal RNA
Source: RNAcentral
CCUACGGGAGGCAGCAGUGGGGAAUAUUGCACAAUGGGGGAAACCCUGAUGCAGCGACGUCGCGUGAGUGAUGAAGUAUUUCGGUAUGUAAAGCUCUAUCAGCAGGGAAGAAAAUGACGGUACCUGACUAAGAAGCCCCGGCUAACUACGUGCCAGCAGCCGCGGUAAUACGUAGGGGGCAAGCGUUAUCCGGAUUUACUGGGUGUAAAGGGAGCGUAGGAGGCGGUGCAAGCCAGAUGUGAAAGCGCGGGGCUCCACCCCGGGCAUGCAUUUGGAACUGUGCUGCUAGAGUGUCGGAGAGGCAGGCGGAAUUCCUAGUGUAGCGGUGAAAUGCGUAGAUAUUAGGAGGAACACCAGUGGCGAAGGCGGCCUGCUGGACGAUGACUGACGUUGAGGCUCGAAAGCGUGGGGAGCAAACAGGAUUAGAUACCCUUGUAGUC